This is a long non-coding RNA of Carassius auratus (goldfish), 985 nucleotides long. RefSeq lists it as uncharacterized. Lineage: Eukaryota; Metazoa; Chordata; Actinopteri; Cypriniformes; Cyprinidae. The transcript is spliced from 5 exons. The record is from RefSeq and is a predicted model, not a curated record.
GCACGACUCUCUGUAAUGUAUUUACUUUAGUAUAUAUAUAUAUACACUAGGGCUGAAACAAUUACUCGACAUUAUCGACAACGUCGACGAUAAAAAUAAAAUUUUCAGCAAAUGUUUUUGAGUAACGUUAGUGGUUUGAUCUCGUAUCUGCCUGAUUUGAAAGCCUGCAUUAAUGCAGUUUGACCAGUGUGGCGCUGUAGCGCAAGAUUGUAAUACACUCUCCUGAUUCAAUUAAAAAGAAGAAGAUAGCACUUCAGUUUGAGGCAAACCGACCCGAUCCGAACCUUGGAUGAAUAUGUUUGUGCAGAAUUUGAGACAUCCAGAAUUACCAUAGGCCCAUUAGAAUCAACAAUCUUUGCCAAACUUGAUUCGGACUGCAAAAUUUACGAAGAUGUUUUCAUACUGAAGAAGAGACCUUGGACAAAUACUGAAACCCUCUUGGUGCCCACUACACAGGCAGGGGUGUCCAGACCUGCUCUAGGAAAGCCAGUGUUCUGUGGGGUUCAGCUCUAACACACCUGCCUGGAACUUCAGACUAAUGAAAUUGAAGUAUCCAAAUGAAGACCCUAGCAGUAUGGAGUAUAUGGAUACAGACGUUGCCAGCAGUCAGGAGGUGAUCCAGAAGACUCAUGGGAAUCUAUUUGAAGCUGCAUCAUUGAAGACAGUCCAGCAGAAGUUGGAGUUUUAAAGGAUAAAGUUCUUCAGGACCUAUAGCAGUUUACAGUCUGUAAAACCAUGUUACUGGGACUGAUUUAUGGACUGAACUUGAGCAACCCUCCUGAACUCAGGUACACAUUUGGAAUACUGAAGAAGUUAUUUCUGGAGCCACUUCCUGUUCCUGGAAUAAGGUUUGAUUGGUUGCCCAUGAAUGCCAAUUAGAAUUGUAUUUGCUAUUUUGUGUAAUUUUGUAAUGUGGUUUAAACUGUAUUUUACUGUGUGUAAUUAUUUAUUGCUUGUUUAACAAAUACACUUUGAUCAUUUGUGA